Long non-coding RNA from Triticum aestivum (bread wheat), 2307 nucleotides. RefSeq lists it as uncharacterized. NCBI's taxonomy places the organism in Eukaryota, Viridiplantae, Streptophyta, Magnoliopsida, Poales, Poaceae. The transcript has 2 exons. The record is from RefSeq and is a predicted model, not a curated record.
UCGGUCCGUGAUCCUUAUGUGUAUUAUUUUGCAGGGGCGGCCAUGGCAGGGAGGGGAGGCGACGCUGCGCUCCGGAUGCGGCAGGGAGGCGGAAGCCCCGCGAGGAGACGAAGGAGCGGAAAAUGAAGAGGUAUGGAGGAGAGGAGGACGAGCGGGAAGUGCUGGGGCGUGUGGGCGAGCGGGAAGGGCUGGGGCGUCGCCCACGACGCCGAGCUUGACGGCGGCCUUGCUGUGGUGCAGCCGGCGAGGACCUGUCGGAUCUGGCCGGAUCCGGUGGGAUACGGCGCGCAUGUGGCGGAUCUGAAAGGAAGGCGACCGGGGCGUGGAGUACGAUGGCUGACAUGCGCGGCAUGGCCGAAGCCGACGAGAGAAGAGAGAGAUGGAGAGAAAAGAGAGGACGGGAAGGAGACGAGACGCCAGAGGAGAGAGAAGGGGGUGGUGGUCACUUCAACAGGCUGCAGCGCGGCGCCGCCCCGGCCGCUGAGCCUGCCCGACCGCCCCGUCGCCAAGUCGCCACCCCACUGACUGCCUUGGGCUCGCCCUUUAAACCAAUUCAGAGCCAGCGAUUGUUGCCCACAUCGCCGAACCUGGCUCCCCUUCUCCACCCCAGCAAGCACACGCGCUUGAAGGCGCCCAGGAGCUCGCCGGCAACACUCAGCAGACGCAGGAGAGUUGCGUGCCUGGUGCGUGUGAAUGUGUGGACGCGAGGCAUUGGAGGCCUCAGCAAGUUUUGGAGCUGAUCAGUAGCACGCUGACAUGCAUCAGGAAGCCGACGGACAGCCAUAGUAGGAAGGCGUGGAUCUUGAGCUGCAGCGACAACGACAACUUGGGCGUUACCUGCAAAAAUACAACAGUUCAAGGGUUCAACCAAGUGUAAGUUUGAUUCAGUCAAUUAUUGCAGUUCUGCACUGAAACAUUCAGAUUCUUGCAUCCAAAGUUAGAUAGGAACAGGGAAAGAAUCUCCAACGCUUAUUUACAUGGGAAAGAACACUCUUUAACUUUGGUUCAGAUCAUCAGUCUAUCUGAAGCACCAUAGAUUGAGUUUGCAAGCAAAAGGAUCACACAAUCUGACAGUACAAGGAGCAGUCUUUUUCUUCACAUCUUUGUUUUAGCUUGCAUCUGACACUUAUGUGCUCCAAGAUUAGGCAACCAAAACUGAACUUAUGACUACAUGAGUGCAUGAAAAACUGUUAAUAUCUCUGAUUUGACUAAUCUUUGGAUUGGUCGGAGACGAGAUUCUCUGGCUUUGGGGAUGGCCCUUUGGGGUUCUAUCAGGGUUCUAUUCAUGUGCACUAGGCACUUCUCAACACUUCCAUAGUUAUUCUAGAACCUCUUUAAAUUUGCAAUGCUCACCAGAUUGUACACGUUUUGCAGUCAACUAUUCAGACUAUUGACUAGGGACGAUAUUUUCAGUCCUACUGAGUCUGCAAAGGAUGAGCCAAGCCAAGAUUAAUUAUGGUUUUGGUAAAUUGCAUCGGUUUAGUUAUGUACCUGCUCCUUAGAUGACUGUGUAUUUGUGAUUCAGUCGUUGAAAUUUGGGUGCUUUCUUCGAGUGUCCUGAAAAAUGGUUCAAUGCGUGUUUGCCAGAAACUGUAGAUUAGCAAGACUAACUUGUGUUGAGCAUGUCAGUCUAUGCGUGGGCACGAGUGACAAUGUAAAUUAUGGUAGACACAUUUUCUUGAAAAAAGUCCCGGAGACGGGCUGCUGCUGCUGCUGCUUUUGAUAGCCAAAGUGGAGACUGCAGUUCUAAGACUUCAAGGAGGAAAGGAAUACAUGGUUGCUACUUGGAGAGGUGAGUUGUUUCCCUGCAGAACAAUAAAUCUCUUAGAGUUGUUUAACUGAACCUGUUCCACUCUCAUUGUUAUGUUGAGAUAAAAAUUGUUAUUGGUCACUCAGUGCCCAAGCUGUCGUGGAUUAAUUUGACUUGAAUUGGAUUGUACUUCAAGAGUCCACAAGAUGUCAUUUCUGAGUGUGGUACUAAUUUCGGCACAUAGCACCAAUUCCUAAAAAUAAGGCUGGGCAACAUGAGCUAACCACAGGGGAGGAUGUUUCAAGAGAAUAAACUCACUGUAGUUGCCGAAUUGGUAUUUGUAAGUUGCUGUUUCAACUUCCUAGAGAACAACAGGGGGUGUAUUUUUUUUUACUAUUAUUAGUUGCAGCACAUGGUGACGAUGAGGAGGACUUGUAUUUUUAAGAUGCUGCACCUCUGUUUUUUGUUGAUCUUUGUUUCAUGUAUAUAUGUACAUUCUAUGGAAAUGUAUCAUCGGAAAUGUGAAUUCAUAACUCUAUGGUUGAUGUAUCUAUUGA